AGCAGCCGCGGUAAUUCCAGCUCCAAUAGCGUAUAUUAAAGUUGUUGCAGUUAAAAGCUCGUAGUUGAACCUUAGGCCCGUGCGGGCGGUCCGUCCUCAGGGCGAGCACUGCUCCGUCGCGGGUCUCACCUUCUGGCGCGCGUGGAUGCCAUUUAUUUGGUGUCCGCGGGAACCAGGACCUUUACCUUGAAAAAUUAGAGUGCUCAAAGCGGGCUCCGACGCUUGAAUACAUUAGCAUGGAAUAAUGAAAUAGGACGAAGGUUCUAUUUUGUUGGUUUCCGGGACCUUUGUAAUGAUUAAUAGGGAUAGUUGGGGGCAUUCGUAUUCAAUUGUCAGAGGUGAAAUUCUUGGAUUUAUUGAAGACGAACUACUGCGAAAGCAUUUGCCAAGGAUGUUUUCAUUAAUCAAAG
This 410-nucleotide ribosomal RNA is filed under the name uncultured Glomeromycotina. RNAcentral's name for it is "bacterial SSU rRNA". It matches the Rfam family "Eukaryotic small subunit ribosomal RNA", at positions 569 to 981 of the family's 1831-position model. Lineage: Eukaryota; Fungi; Glomeromycota. The record is from RNAcentral.